GAAUCAACGCUGGCGGCGUGCCUAACACAUGCAAGUCGAACGCGAAAGGGGGCUUCGGCCCUGAGUAGAGUGGCGUCCGGGUGAGUAACGCGUGGGUAAUCUACCCUCGGGUGGGGAAUAACCAAUCGAAAGAUUGGCUAAGUACCGCAUAAUGCAGCGGCUCGACAUCGAGACAGUUGUUAAAGCAGCAAUGCGCCAGAGGAGGA
This 206-nucleotide ribosomal RNA is filed under the name uncultured bacterium. RNAcentral's name for it is "partial 16S ribosomal RNA". It matches the Rfam family "Bacterial small subunit ribosomal RNA", at positions 27 to 228 of the family's 1533-position model. The record is from RNAcentral.